AGUGAACGCUGGCGGUAGGCCUAACACAUGCAAGUCGAACGGCAGCACAGGAGAGCUUGCUCUCUGGGUGGCGAGUGGCGGACGGGUGAGGAAUACAUCGGAAUCUACUUUUUCGUGGGGGAUAACGUAGGGAAACUUACGCUAAUACCGCAUACGACCUACGGGUGAAAGCAGGGGACCUUCGGGCCUUGCGCGAUUGAAUGAGCCGAUGUCGGAUGAGCUAGUUGGUGGGGUAAAGGCUCACCAAGGCGACGAUCCGUAGCUGGUCUGAGAGGAUGAUCAGCCACACUGGAACUGAGACACGGUCCAGACUCCUACGGGAGGCAGCAGUGGGGAAUAUUGGACAAUGGGCGCAAGCCUGAUCCAGCCAUACCGCGUGGGUGAAGAAGGCCUUCGGGUUGUAAAGCCCUUUUGUUGGGAAAGAAAUCCAGCCGGCUAAUACCCGGUUGGGAUGACGGUACCCAAAGAAUAAGCACCGGCUAACUUCGUGCCAGCAGCCACAGUAA
This 506-nucleotide ribosomal RNA is filed under the name uncultured bacterium. RNAcentral describes it as "partial 16S ribosomal RNA". It matches the Rfam family "Bacterial small subunit ribosomal RNA", at positions 29 to 523 of the family's 1533-position model. The record is from RNAcentral.